UGGGCAUAGUCGCUUGUUCUCCGCCCGCGGUGGACCAGCUGCGUAACGGUUCACACACUGAUGGCGCCUGGAGGUUUGGCGAAAUACUGACAGGAUGCGACGUCAACGGGAGCGCAGGGCCAAGAUACCCUUUAUAUCAAACCGUCUAUCCUGGAGCAGAAAAAUCCUGUCUUCAUUGCUAUAGCUACAGAUUCAGAAAUGAGCAUGUAACAAAUUCAGGCCAAAGAGAGGCAAUGGAAAUCAGAGAAACACUGUUCCUGAAAGCUUCUGUCACUCAAGAAUCCAUGAAACAUUCAUGAACUUCACAUCAGAUUUUAAUGCAACUUGUUACACAAGAUGAACCCAAACAUAUUUGACUUUUUAUUUUCAGAAAAGCUUAAUACAUAGUUUUGAAUAUGGAUUGUCCCACAGGAUAAAUGCAUGAAAAAAGUUGGAAAAGAGAAAUUGAAUUACAUCCUAAUUGUAGUGUUUUCUCAGGCAGAUCAAUUUUAGAAAGAGAACAUUGACUUGGAAAACUGAAGAGUAAUUAUUCUAAAACGGUUGUAACAGUUUACUCCUUUUAUGUUUGCAAACUUCCAGGAUUAGUGAGUUGCAUAAAGUCACAUAAUUUAUUGCGUUGGUGCAAAAGUAAUUGUGGUUUUUGCCAUUAACAAAACCGCAAUUACUUUUGCAUCAGCCUAAUAUAAGUGAAUAAAUUAAUAUUAGAACACAGGUCUAAUUAAAAGGUUCUGCUGUGUUGUGUCCUGUGAUAACACAGAAAACAAACAAAUGGAUAAUUACAGAAAAAUUUUGGAUAUAAAAUUAGCAGGUAAUUUUCUCCCUCCUUUCCUUC
This 832-nucleotide long non-coding RNA is filed under the name Homo sapiens (human). RNAcentral describes it as "POT1 antisense RNA 1". The record is from RNAcentral. Lineage: Eukaryota; Metazoa; Chordata; Mammalia; Primates; Hominidae.